This 932-nucleotide long non-coding RNA is filed under the name Fukomys damarensis (Damara mole-rat). RNAcentral describes it as "lncRNA (ENSFDAG00000033358.1)". The record is from RNAcentral. Lineage: Eukaryota; Metazoa; Chordata; Mammalia; Rodentia; Bathyergidae.
GGCAAUAUUCAAACCAGUAAAGUCAGACAGUAGGAAUAGAAAGGGGCAGGAAACCAUAGGAUCUAUCCCUUCCUUCUGAAACAUCAUGACCACACACCAUGCAGGCUGAAGGAUCCCUCUUGUUGCCAGAAGGACAAGGCCACAGAGUGAGGGUUCCUUUCUUCUUGUCUUGGGGCAUCUGAGAUCCUUCCUGUCCUCUAGGCACAGAGACCUUUUUUGGGGGAGAGCUGCAUAAACACCCUGGUCUAAGUCAGGGUGAUAAGUGCAUCAGAAGAGCUUAAAACUCAGUCCUGAGAGGAUAAAGGAGGGCACCUUAUGAAGCUGAGCCCCAUGUCAGCAGGGCACCAAGACAGACUCUAAGGAGAGGCCUUCUGACCUGAGAGUUCGUGGAGCCCUGGAGCGGAGGUGACAAAGAGCUCCAGCAAGAAAGGUGAGAUCUGGGAUGCUGCUCUGAGAUCCCUUCUCCCUCCAGCCUACUUGGGCCCAGUCGCCGGGAUAGUGGCCUCGCCCUCCCCUCCCUGUGCCACCAUGAGCUCCAGCAAGGAAGCACCAUCUUCCUAUCACAGAACAUCUGCCCUCCAAGGACUCUCAAGUAGCCAAGAACUUCAAGAACAAAACAAAACUGAAUAUAGUGCCUGUUUAUACUGAAAAAGAAGCCAUCAAGUGGAAGGAAGCUUAAUAGCCAAGAAAGGUGAAAUAAAGGUGAAGAUUCUACCCUUUCCAGACCAAAAGAUUUUCAUGUUAUAGCAUGGCAGUUCAAAGCAACUGCUGGCUGAUCAAAAUGGUGAUUGUAAACUGGUAUGGUGGCUCACACCUAUAAUCCCAACAUUCUGGGAGGCUUGGCAGGAGGACUGCAUGUUUUGUCUCAGUUUGUGCAGCUUAGUGAUUUACCAAGACCCUGUCUCAAAAUUAAAAAAAGAAAACAACAACAA